GACGAACGCUGGCGGUGUGCUUAACACAUGCAAGUCGAACGGUAAGGCCCUUUCGGGGGUACACGAGUGGCGAACGGGUGAGUAACACGUGAGUAACCUGCCCUCAUCUCUGGGAUAACAGUCGGAAACGGUUGCUAAUACUGGAUAUGAUCUUGCAAGGCAUCUUGUGGGUUGGAAAGAUUUUUUUUGGUUGGGGAUGGACUCGCGGCCUAUCAGCUUGUUGGUGAGGUAGUGGCUCACCAAGGCUUCGACGGGUAGCCGGCCUGAGAGGGCGACCGGCCACAUUGGGACUGAGAUACGGCCCAAACUCCUACGGGAGGCAGCAGUGGGGAAUAUUGCACAAUGGACGGAAGUCUGAUGCAGCAACGCCGCGUGCGGGAUGACGGCCUUCGGGUUGUAAACCGCUUUCAAUUGUGACGAAGCUUUUUUGUGACGGUAGCAGUAGAAGAAGCACCGGCUAACUACGUG
Molecule: ribosomal RNA, 468 nt
Filed under: uncultured bacterium
Lineage: Bacteria
Description: partial 16S ribosomal RNA
Rfam family: Bacterial small subunit ribosomal RNA
Source: RNAcentral